GCCCAACAGCUAGCCCACCUAAACAAUUUCAACAAACCCCUGUUAAUACCCCCUAAAUACCCCAGUAUUUAAAUUAAACAAACCAUUUUUCCCCCUUAGUAUAGGCGAUAGAAACGGGGCUCCGGCGCAAUAGAGAAAGUACCGCAAGGGAAUGCUGAAAGAGAAGUGAAAUAACCCAGUGAAGCCUGAAAAAGCAGAGAUUUAAACUCGUACCUUUUGCAUCAUGAUUUAGCGAGUGUACCUCAAGCAAAGAGCACUUUAGUUUGACGUCCCGAAACUACGUGAGCUACUCCAAGACAGCCUAUUAAUAGGGCGCACCCGUCUCUGUGGCAAAAGAGUGGGGAGAGCUUUGAGUAGAGGUGACAAACCUACCGAACCUAGUUAUAGCUGGUUGUCCAAGAAAUGAAUAGAAGUUCAGCCUCUUGGCUUCUCUUUUCACCCUAGUUUAACCCCUAUUGAUGCACUAAAGAAACCGAGAGAGUUAGUCAAAGGGGGUACAGCCCCUUUGAAUCAAGACACAACUUUACCAGGCGGGU
RNAcentral lists this ribosomal RNA (536 nucleotides) under Gymnocanthus herzensteini. RNAcentral's name for it is "partial 16S ribosomal RNA". It matches the Rfam family "Bacterial large subunit ribosomal RNA", at positions 157 to 1040 of the family's 2925-position model. The record is from RNAcentral. Lineage: Eukaryota; Metazoa; Chordata; Actinopteri; Perciformes; Cottidae.